RNAcentral lists this transfer RNA (67 nucleotides) under Ornebius fuscicerci. Its description in RNAcentral is "tRNA-Phe". It matches the Rfam family "tRNA". Rfam says of the family: Transfer RNA (tRNA) molecules are approximately 80 nucleotides in length. The record is from RNAcentral. Lineage: Eukaryota; Metazoa; Arthropoda; Insecta; Orthoptera; Mogoplistidae.
AUUUAAGUAGCUUAAGUUAAAGUAUUUCGUUGAAGUUGAAAAGAUAAAUUCAUUUAUUUCUUAAAUA